This is a long non-coding RNA of Carya illinoinensis, 1341 nucleotides long. RefSeq lists it as uncharacterized. Lineage: Eukaryota; Viridiplantae; Streptophyta; Magnoliopsida; Fagales; Juglandaceae. The record is from RefSeq and is a predicted model, not a curated record. The transcript has 3 exons.
CUCACAGGCCGCCCUUGAUAACUAUUAUACUUUGAUACCUAAAGAUAUGGGAAAAUCAAACUGUUGAACCAAUGUUUUGAACAUCAAAAUGUUAAAUAAAAGCAUGGAAUCACAUGGCUUGGUUCUUAUUCUUACUUUAUGUGUUGGCUCCUAGUGCUCACAUGCCCAACUCAACUUUGUUCCUACUCUCUCUUACUCACAAGAACUAGGACAAGUUUUGUCUUUCUGAAAUCCAUGACAUACAGCAUUUGGGACCCCAAUUGUCUUUCUUUUUAACCAUUUUUUUGUUUUUUUUUUUAAUCUGGGGUCUUUUGAAUAUGGCAUAUUUUUUAAUUUUUCUAAACGAUAAUUACAAGUUGUAAUUAUCUGAUUCGAGGGAAAAGUGUGAUGGAAGUAAAGGACUAAACUGUAGGUCUCUGGAGUCUGGAUUGUAAAGUUCAUAUGAAAAAUGUGUCACCUAAUUUAGGUGGUAAAAAUAAAAAGGGUUGGUAAACAAUAGCAUUUCUAAGAUGGAUAAGAAAAUGAAAAGGGUGGCCACCUUAGGUGGAAAGCUUUAAUUUGGUGGUCAUCAGUGGUGACAAGCUGGGAUUUUUAUCUCUUUUUUAUGCAUUAUUUUAUUGGUCAUCAGUGGUGACAACCCCUCCGAGCAAGUGUUGACCUGAAUAGAUUCAGGAGAAGGUUUGACUUAAAUGCAUAACUUAUUGGAAUUAGGCAUACUUAUAAAUUGUUCUUUUAGUUGGAUACGUUUCUUACCCCGUGUUGUUUUUUUUUCCCAGUUAAUAGCCACUUUGGUGAGACUAAUAUGAAUGGUUGUAGUGGUAGAUCACAACCAAAUAUCCUUCAGCCGGUGAUUGAAAGCAAGGCAAAGGACAAUGGUGGUUAGUCCAAUGAGGAGUGACGGAUACGCUUACGGGUGAGAACCUUCUAAUAUAAAUUCCGAGCAUGGAGCAACGAUGGGCCCGGGAUGCACUUAAUACAAAGACUAAGGGGAAAAUACGCAUGUAUUGACUUCCAUGCAAUCUGAAAAUAGGUGUCAGUAAAAUGGGUCUCAUGCUCGCCGCCAUUGUUAAUCAAAUGCCCAAAGUGCCCAAGUGUGGGUGGAAAUGUCCCAAACAUAAGUCUCACUUGUUAUAUUAAUGUGUAACUUGGUAUAGAUUAUUUUAGUAAUACUACAGUCUUCAAAUCAAUUAUAUAAUACAGAUGAUAGUUUAUUAUGUAAUUAAUCGCUCAGCUUGUAUUUGAGAUAUGAUCAGUAAGAAUUUCCACCCAAUGAUAGUUAAUUGAAUUGACACUUGUGUGAAAUUAAACACUUUGAUAGAAUGGUCUCAGCUAUAUUUGUUG